This 789-nucleotide ribosomal RNA is filed under the name uncultured bacterium. RNAcentral describes it as "bacterial SSU rRNA". It matches the Rfam family "Bacterial small subunit ribosomal RNA", at positions 8 to 796 of the family's 1533-position model. The record is from RNAcentral.
AGAGUUUGAUCAUGGCUCAGAUUGAACGCUGGCGGCAUGCCUUACACAUGCAAGUCGAACGGUAACGCGGGGCAACCUGGCGACGAGUGGCGAACGGGUGAGUAAUACAUCGGAACGUGCCCAGUAGUGGGGGAUAGCCCGGCGAAAGCCGGAUUAAUACCGCAUACGACCUACGGGUGAAAGCGGGGGAUCGCAAGACCUCGCGCUAUUGGAGCGGCCGAUGUCAGAUUAGGUAGUUGGUGGGGUAAAAGCCUACCAAGCCGACGAUCUGUAGCUGGUCUGAGAGGACGACCAGCCACACUGGGACUGAGACACGGCCCAGACUCCUACGGGAGGCAGCAGUGGGGAAUUUUGGACAAUGGGGGCAACCCUGAUCCAGCCAUGCCGCGUGCGGGAAGAAGGCCUUCGGGUUGUAAACCGCUUUUGUCAGGGAAGAAACGCUUCGGGAUAAUACCCUGGAGUAAUGACGGUACCUGAAGAAUAAGCACCGGCUAACUACGUGCCAGCAGCCGCGGUAAUACGUAGGGUGCAAGCGUUAAUCGGAAUUACUGGGCGUAAAGCGUGCGCAAGCGGCUUUGCAAGACAGAUGUGAAAUCCCCGGGCUCAACCUGGGAACUGCAUUUGUGACUGCAUGGCUAGAGUGUGGCAGAGGGGGAUGGAAUUCCGCGUAGCAGUGAAAUGCGUAGAUAUGCGGAGGAACACCGAUGGCGAAGGCAAUCCCCUGGGCCUGCACUGACGCUCAUGCACGAAAGCGUGGGGAGCAAACAGGAUUAGAUACCCUAGUAGUCC